GAUGAACGCUGGCGGCGUGCCUAAUACAUGCAAGUCGAGCGGACAGACGAGGCGUUUGCUCCGCUGACGUUAGCGGCGGGCGGGUGAGUCACACGUGGAUACCCUACCUAUAAGACUGGGAUCACUUCGGGAAAGCGGAGCUCAUACCGGAUAAUAUAUUGAUCCGCGUGGUUCAUUAGUGAAAGUCGGUUUUGCUGUCACUAAUAGCUGGAUCCGCGCCGCAUUAGCUAGUUGGUAAGGUAACGGCUUACCAAGGCAAGGAUGCGUGGCCGACCUGAGAGAGGGGUCGGCGACACGGGAACUGAGCCACGGUCCAUACGACUACGGGAGGGAGCAGAAGGGAAUCUUCGGCAAUGGGCGAAAGCCUUACGGAGCAACGCCGCGCGAGAGAUAAAGGUCUUCGGAUCGGAAAACUCUGUUAUGGGGGAAGAACAAAUGUGUAAGUAACUAUGCACUUCUUGACGGUACCUAAUCAAAAAGCCACGGCUAACUACGUG
This 497-nucleotide ribosomal RNA is filed under the name uncultured bacterium. Its description in RNAcentral is "partial 16S ribosomal RNA". It matches the Rfam family "Bacterial small subunit ribosomal RNA", at positions 28 to 507 of the family's 1533-position model. The record is from RNAcentral.